RNAcentral lists this ribosomal RNA (253 nucleotides) under uncultured bacterium. RNAcentral describes it as "partial 16S ribosomal RNA". It matches the Rfam family "Bacterial small subunit ribosomal RNA", at positions 524 to 776 of the family's 1533-position model. The record is from RNAcentral.
UACGGAGGGUGCAAGCGUUAUCCGGAUUCACUGGGUUUAAAGGGUGCGUAGGUGGGCAGGUAAGUCAGUGGUGAAAUCUCCGGGCUUAACUCGGAAACUGCCAUUGAUACUAUCUUUCUUGAAUACCGUGGAGGUCAGCGGAAUAUGUCAUGUAGCGGUGAAAUGCUUAGAUAUGACAUAGAAUACCAAUUGCGAAGGCAGCUGGCUACACGAAUAUUGACACUGAUGCACGAAAGCGUGGGGAUCAAACAGG